RNAcentral lists this ribosomal RNA (266 nucleotides) under uncultured bacterium. RNAcentral describes it as "partial 16S ribosomal RNA". It matches the Rfam family "Bacterial small subunit ribosomal RNA", at positions 524 to 790 of the family's 1533-position model. The record is from RNAcentral.
UACAGAGGUCUCAAGCGUUGUUCGGAUUCAUUGGGCGUAAAGGGUGUGUAGGUGGCGCGCUAAGUCGGGUGUGAAAUUUCGGAGCUUAACUCCGAAACUGCAUUCGAUACUGGCGUGCUUGAGGACUGGAGAGGAGACUGGAAUUUACGGUGUAGCAGUGAAAUGCGUAGAUAUCGUAAGGAAGACCAGUGGCGAAGGCGGGUCUCGUGGACAGUUCCUGACGCUGAGGCACGAAAGCGUGGGGAGCAAACAGGAUUAGAACCUAC